This 429-nucleotide ribosomal RNA is filed under the name bacterium. RNAcentral's name for it is "partial 16S ribosomal RNA". It matches the Rfam family "Bacterial small subunit ribosomal RNA", at positions 355 to 776 of the family's 1533-position model. The record is from RNAcentral.
UAGGGAAUCUUCCACAAUGGACGCAAGUCUGAUGGAGCAACGCCGCGUGAGUGAAGAAGGUUUUCGGAUCGUAAAGCUCUGUUGUUGGUGAAGAAGGAUAGAGGUAGUAACUGGCCUUUAUUUGACGGUAAUCAACCAGAAAGUCACGGCUAACUACGUGCCAGCAGCCGCGGUAAUACGUAGGUGGCAAGCGUUGUCCGGAUUUAUUGGGCGUAAAGCGAGCGCAGGCGGAAGAAUAAGUCUGAUGUGAAAGCCCUCGGCUUAACCGAGGAACUGCAUCGGAAACUGUUUUUCUUGAGUGCAGAAGAGGAGAGUGGAACUCCAUGUGUAGCGGUGGAAUGCGUAGAUAUAUGGAAGAACACCAGUGGCGAAGGCGACUCUCUGGUCUGCAACCGACGCUGAGGCUCGAAAGCAUGGGUAGCGAACAGG